RNAcentral lists this small nuclear RNA (184 nucleotides) under Carlito syrichta (Philippine tarsier). RNAcentral's name for it is "U2 spliceosomal RNA (ENSTSYG00000022466.2)". It matches the Rfam family "U2 spliceosomal RNA". Rfam says of the family: U2 is a small nuclear RNA (snRNA) component of the spliceosome (involved in pre-mRNA splicing). Complementary binding between U2 snRNA (in an area lying towards the 5' end but 3' to hairpin I) and the branchpoint sequence (BPS) of the intron results the bulging out of an unpaired adenosine, on the BPS, which initiates a nucleophilic attack at the intronic 5' splice site, thus starting the first of two transesterification reactions that mediate splicing. The record is from Rfam by way of RNAcentral. Lineage: Eukaryota; Metazoa; Chordata; Mammalia; Primates; Tarsiidae.
AUCACUUCUCAGCCCUUUGGCUAAGAUCAAGUAUAGUAUCUCUUCAUAUCAGUUUAAUAUCUGAUAUGUCCUCUAUCUGUUUACUAAAUAGAUUUUUGGAAUUAGGAGAUGGAAUAGGAGUUUACUCCAUCCAUUCCAUGCAUCGACCUAGAAUUGCAAUACUUCUAGGAACAGUGCACCAAAA